Molecule: transfer RNA, 65 nt
Filed under: Hemigalus derbyanus (banded palm civet)
Lineage: Eukaryota; Metazoa; Chordata; Mammalia; Carnivora; Viverridae
Description: tRNA-Pro
Source: RNAcentral
GGAAUAGUUUAAAAAGAAUUUCAGCUUUGGGUGCUGAUGGUGGGGUAAUGCCUCUUCCUUGAAGU